UUACGGCCACAUCAUGUUGAAACACCAGUUCUCAUUCGAUCACUGAAGUUAAGCAACAUCGAGACUGGUCAGUAUCUAAAUAGGUGACCGCUUCGGAAUACUAGGUGCUAUA
This is a non-coding RNA of Acanthosepion pharaonis, 112 nucleotides long. Lineage: Eukaryota; Metazoa; Mollusca; Cephalopoda; Sepiida; Sepiidae. The record is from the annotation of a GenBank genome assembly.